This 292-nucleotide ribosomal RNA is filed under the name uncultured bacterium. RNAcentral's name for it is "partial 16S ribosomal RNA". The record is from RNAcentral.
GGACUACUCGGGUAUCUAAUCCUGUUCGCUCCCCUAGCUUUCGCACCUGAGCGUCAGACACCAGCCAGGACACUGCCUUCGCCUUUGGUAUUCCUCCGGAUAUCUACGCAUUUCACCACUCCACCCGGAAUUCUAUGUCCCUCUCUGGUUCUCAAGUCAGGCAGUUUUCAGAGGCCUUGCUCAGUUAAGCCGAGCACUGUCACUCCAAACUUACCUCACCGCCUGCGUGCGCUUUACGCCCAAUAAAUCCGGACAACGCUCGCCCCCUACGUAUUACCGCGGCGGCUGGCAC